GAUUUACUUGCACCAUGUUGAAGAUCCCUUGUAAGCAUUUCUUCCGUAGUCUAUAGAAAUAAAUCGCUCUUUCAGGGACUUUUAACCUUGAUUUCCUUUAUUCUGCAAUAGAUUGUAUAGUUUGAGAUUCGAACCUCAGACAUGGGUGUAGAAGCUUUUAAUCUUUCACCAUUAAUAAAUUAUAUUAAUUCAUCUCUAUUUUAGAUGUUUAAUUGUAUGUUUGAAAACAUAUAUUAGAUUAUGUAAUUCUAGGAUUAGUUUACUUUUAAAAACUUUAAUUAAAUAAAUAAAAAAAUUUAAACCAUCAACCAAUCAAAUAAUAUUAAUUCAUCUAUAUAU
Molecule: long non-coding RNA, 339 nt
Filed under: Brassica napus (rape)
Lineage: Eukaryota; Viridiplantae; Streptophyta; Magnoliopsida; Brassicales; Brassicaceae
Description: long non-coding RNA (BNAP_LNC018375)
Source: RNAcentral